RNAcentral lists this ribosomal RNA (253 nucleotides) under uncultured bacterium. Its description in RNAcentral is "partial 16S ribosomal RNA". It matches the Rfam family "Bacterial small subunit ribosomal RNA", at positions 524 to 776 of the family's 1533-position model. The record is from RNAcentral.
UACGAAGGGGGCUAGCGUUGCUCGGAAUCACUGGGCGGAAAGGGUGCGUAGGCGGGUCUUUAAGUCAGGGGUGAAAUCCUGGAGCUCAACUCCAGAACUGCCUUUGAUACUGAGGAUCUUGAGUUCGGGAGAGGUGAGUGGAACUGCGAGUGUAGAGGUGAAAUUCGUAGAUAUUCGGAAGAACACCAGUGGCGAAGGCGGCUCACUGGUCCGGUACUGACGCUGAUGUGCGAAAGCGUGGGGAGCAAACAGG